Molecule: unclassified non-coding RNA, 346 nt
Filed under: soil metagenome
Description: partial contains 5.8S ribosomal RNA, internal transcribed spacer 2, and large subunit ribosomal RNA
Rfam family: 5.8S ribosomal RNA (bases 1-120)
Source: RNAcentral
GAUGAAGAACGUAGCGAAAUGCGAUACGUAAUGUGAAUUGCAGAAUUCAGUGAAUCAUCGAGUCUUUGAACGCACAUUGCGCCCCCUGGUAUUCCGGGGGGCAUGCCUGUCCGAGCGUCAUUGCUGCCCUCAAGCACGGCUUGUGUGUUGGGCCUCCGUCCUCCUCCCGGGGGACGGGCCCGAAAGGCAGCGGCGGCACCGCGUCCGGUCCUCGAGCGUAUGGGGCUUCGUCACCCGCUCUUGUAGGCCCGGCCGGCGCUUGCCGACACAUCAAUCUUUUUUCCAGGUUGACCUCGGAUCAGGUAGGGAUACCCGCUGAACUUAAGCAUAUCAAUAAGCAGGAGGA